CCUUCAUGUAGUGAGCGCAAUCAAAACAAGUUAUCGUGAACUAUUUUUGUUGUGUCUUGAUUCUGGAUUUUCCUGUUCUUAUCUUGUUACUUCAUCAAGUUCCUUCAAAAUGAUGACCAAGUUAUUUAAGUUUCUGUCCCAUAGAACAAAAUUUGAGAUGAUUAGAAGAGGAUUGAUUAUUCCUCCUGGAGCCUGUGAGACACCAACCAAAACUGUCACAGACUUACUUGAUGACUUUACUCGAAGCGUGCUAGGAACCAAUAGUAAGUACUGUGCAGGGAGCAUAAGCCGAGAGCACCUUGUGAAAUACUUACCGGCUACUCAAGAAGAGCUUCCAGUACGGAGAAUGAGUGACAGCUAUGAUACUGCCAUCAUCCCCUUGGGAAGUGAUAUCUCCAUGCGUGAAAAGUACAUGACGUUUCACAAGACAAUCCGCAUCGGGCGGUUGCUAGAAGACCUUGACGUUUUUGCGGUGACGCUGUGUUACAAGCACAUUCUCAACCCAAACCAACCCGCCGACAUAUCCGUCAGCCCAUACAGCAUUGUAACAGCUUGCGUGGAUCAAAUGGAUAUAUCCCACGUUCCUCUUCGGUACGAUGCCGAUAUUCGUUUGAGAGGCCAUGUGACAUGGGUGGGCAAGUCGUCAUUCGAGGCUUCCAUGGAAGUUGAUCAAAUAGAUAAAGACUCAAACGAAUGGAAUACGGUCACAAACGCCAGGUUCGUCAUGGUCAGUCGGGAUUCAAUGAAUAAGGGAUCGGCCAUCGUGAAUAGGUUGGUUCCUGAAACGGACGAGGAAAAGGCGUUAUUUAGAAAAGGAGAAGAAAAUAAGGAAAGACGAGCUAAAAUGCAAACGACAUCCUUGUUCCGGAAGCCUCCAAGUGAGCAAGAAAGAUUGAUCAUCCACGAACAGUUUCUCCGCACGAUCGAUUGGAAAAGCAUGUCCUUCAAGAGCCGGAUCAAACCCACCAAUUGCGUCUGGAUGGCGGAUGCUAAACUAAAGAAUAUGAUUCUCUGUCAGCCAGAGAAUCGUAAUCGGUUCAACAAAAUUUUCGGCGGUUUCCUGAUGCGACUGGCCGUGGAAUUGGCGUGGGCAAACGGCUACGUCUACUGUAAGAGCUUGCCUACUCUGGUCCACGUUGAUGACAUCCUCUUCCGUAAACCGGUGGAGAUAGGCUCACUCUUGUACUUUAGUUCCCAGGUGGUCUACACUCAAGGCCAUUACGUGAUGGUGCGGGUGUCGGCCGAAGUUGUUCAGCCAGAGGACGGAACACACGACCUGACUAACGUAUUUCAUUUCACUCUGAAGACAGACAGUCUGGCACCUGAAGUCAUUCCGCGAACCUAUCAAGAGGCCAUGAUGUUCCUCGACGGAAGACGACACUUUAUAGACACGGAGCACGACCUAUCCGAUCCACCGGUAGCCAAACUCUAAUCCGCACAUCGAAAAUUAGGAAAAGCAAAUCACAAAGUAUCCUCUUUCAUCCGGCCCAGUAUUACCUGUUGAAAAUGAGAAAUAACCAAUUUCACAAUAAUUAACGACUAAGAAUUUCAAAAAGGUUUCAAAUUUCUAACCUGCAGCAAUAUCCGGAAAUAUGGAAGCUGCCGAUAGUAAAUAGUAGUGGAAGUCCAAGAGAGAAAGAGCCCUGGAUGGACUCUGUCUUUUACUUGUUCGGUAUUUGACCCGGGCUCCGAGUAUGGUCGACCACCCGCCGCAGAGACUUCCUUUUCUCCUUCUUUUUCUUCUUCUCUAGAUAGAUAUUCAUACAUAAAUACGUUUCUGUUGUGUGGCUCUUGCUUGAGAAUGUUGGUCCCUUUUUUGGUUUGAAAACUAUUUAUAAAUUACCUGUCGAUAAAACAAAA
Molecule: unclassified non-coding RNA, 1860 nt
Filed under: Daphnia pulicaria
Lineage: Eukaryota; Metazoa; Arthropoda; Branchiopoda; Diplostraca; Daphniidae
Description: acyl-coenzyme A thioesterase 9, mitochondrial-like, transcript variant X1
Source: RNAcentral